Molecule: ribosomal RNA, 375 nt
Filed under: uncultured bacterium
Lineage: Bacteria
Description: bacterial SSU rRNA
Rfam family: Bacterial small subunit ribosomal RNA
Source: RNAcentral
GUGGGGAAUCUUGGACAAUGGGGGAAACCCUGAUCCAGCGAUGCCGCGUGACCGAUGAAGGCCCUCGGGUCGUAAAGGUCUUUCGAUGGGGACUAUAAUGAAGGUACCCAUAAAAGCAGGAGCGGCUAACUAUGUGCCAGCAGCCGCGGUAAUACAUAGGCUCCAAGCGUUGUUCGGAAUUACUGGGCGUAAAGCGAGUGUAGGCGGCCUGCCAAGUCGAUUGUGAAAUCUCCCGGCUCAACUGGGAGGGUGCGGUCGAAACUGGCAGGCUAGAGUUCGGGAGAGGAGAGUGGAAUUCCUGGUGUAGCGGUGAAAUGCGUAGAUAUCAGGAGGAACACCGGAGGUGAAGACGGCUCUCUGGACCGAUACUGACGC